GUGUUCGCCUUGGCAGCACAUACUAAAAUUGGAACGAUACAGAAAAGAUUGGCAUGGCCCCUAUACAGGGAUGAUACCCAUAUUCGUGAAGCUUUACAUAUUAGA
This is a small nuclear RNA of Ictidomys tridecemlineatus (thirteen-lined ground squirrel), 105 nucleotides long. The record is from Ensembl. NCBI's taxonomy places the organism in Eukaryota, Metazoa, Chordata, Mammalia, Rodentia, Sciuridae.